UCCUAAAGGGUUGUUCGAGACUAGAACGUUGAUAGGCAGGGUGUGUAAGCGUUGUGAGGCGUUGAGCUAACCUGUACUAAUUGCCCGUGAGGCUUAACCAUACAACACCCAAGGGGUUU
RNAcentral lists this ribosomal RNA (119 nucleotides) under Vibrio cholerae. Its description in RNAcentral is "partial 23S ribosomal RNA". The stretch from base 1 to 101 matches the Rfam family "Bacterial large subunit ribosomal RNA", at positions 2825 to 2925 of the family's 2925-position model. Lineage: Bacteria; Pseudomonadati; Pseudomonadota; Gammaproteobacteria; Vibrionales; Vibrionaceae. RNAcentral also lists the same sequence under 1 other name. The record is from RNAcentral.